RNAcentral lists this ribosomal RNA (665 nucleotides) under uncultured bacterium. RNAcentral's name for it is "bacterial SSU rRNA". It matches the Rfam family "Bacterial small subunit ribosomal RNA", at positions 841 to 1510 of the family's 1533-position model. The record is from RNAcentral.
UGGUAGCGCAGCUAACGCGUGAAGYUGACCGCCUGGGGAGUACGGUCGCAAGAUUAAAACUCAAAGGAAUUGACGGGGACCCGCACAAGCGGUGGAUGAUGUGGAUUAAUUCGAUGCAACGCGAAAAACCUUACCUACCCUUGACAUGUCUGGAAUCCCGAAGAGAUUUGGGAGUGCUCGCAAGAGAACUGGAACACAGGUGCUGCAUGGCUGUCGUCAGCUCGUGUCGUGAGAUGUUGGGUUAAGUCCCGCAACGAGCGCAACCCUUGUCAUUAGUUGCUACGAAAGGGCACUCUAAUGAGACUGCCGGUGACAAACCGGAGGAAGGUGGGGAUGACGUCAAGUCCUCAUGGCCCUUAUGGGUAGGGCUUCACACGUCAUACAAUGGUCGGGACAGAGGGUAGCCAACCCGCGAGGGGGAGCCAAUCCCACAAACCCGAUCGUAGUCCGGAUUGCAGUCUGCAACUCGACUGCAUGAAGUCGGAAUCGCUAGUAAUCGCGGAUCAGCAUGUCGCGGUGAAUACGUUCCCGGGUCUUGUACACACCGCCCGUCACACCAUGGGAGUGGGUUUCACCAGAAGUAGUUAGCCUAACCGCAAGGGGGGCGAUUACCACGGUGGGAUUCAUGACUGGGGUGAAGUCGUAACAAGGUAACCAAGGGCGAA